RNAcentral lists this ribosomal RNA (548 nucleotides) under uncultured Alphaproteobacteria bacterium. RNAcentral's name for it is "bacterial SSU rRNA". It matches the Rfam family "Bacterial small subunit ribosomal RNA", at positions 38 to 630 of the family's 1533-position model. The record is from RNAcentral. Lineage: Bacteria; Pseudomonadati; Pseudomonadota; Alphaproteobacteria.
GGCGGCAUGCCUAACACAUGCAAGUCGAACGCGUGGCUUCGGCCACGAGUGGCGCACGGGUGAGUAGCGCGUGGGAACCUGCCCUUGGGUUCGGGAUAACCGCGGGAAACUGCGGCUAAUACCGGAUGUCCCCUACGGGGGAAAGAUUUAUCGCCCAAGGAGGGGCCCGCGUCCGAUUAGGUAGUUGGUGAGGUAACGGCUCACCAAGCCUUCGAUCGGUAGCUGGUCUGAGAGGAUGAUCAGCCACACUGGGACUGAGACACGGCCCAGACUCCUACGGGAGGCAGCAGUGGGGAAUAUUGGACAAUGGGGGAAACCCUGAUCCAGCAAUGCCGCGUGAGUGAUGAAGGCCUUCGGGUUGUAAAGCUCUUUCGCCCACGACGGUGGUGACGGUAUUGGGANAAGAAGCCCCGGUUAACUUCGUGCCAGCAGCCGCGGUAAUACGAAGGGGGCUAGCGUUGUUCGGAGUUACUGGGCGUAAAGGGCGCGUANGCGGGCGGUCAAGUCGGGUGUGAAAGCCCGGGGCUCAACCCCGGAUGUGCAUUCGA